RNAcentral lists this microRNA precursor (101 nucleotides) under Marmota monax (woodchuck). Lineage: Eukaryota; Metazoa; Chordata; Mammalia; Rodentia; Sciuridae. The record is from RNAcentral.
GGUAUAAUUGCUGGGUCAUGUGGUAACUCUGUUUAGCAUUUUAAGAAAUCAUCAGACUGUUUUUCCAAGCUGCUUCACCAUUUUAUGUUCCAAUCAGAAAU